GACGAACGCUGGCGGCGUGCUUAACACAUGCAAGUCGAACGGUGAACGAGGGAGCUUGCUCCCUCCGGAUCAGUGGCGAACGGGUGAGUAACACGUGAGCAAUCUGCCCCGAACUCUGGGAUAAGCGUUGGAAACGACGUCUAAUACCGGAUACGACGCGGGAGGGCAUCCUCUCCGCGUGGAAAGAACUUCGGUUCGGGAUGAGCUCGCGGCCUAUCAGCUUGUUGGUGAGGUAACGGCUCACCAAGGCGACGACGGGUAGCCGGCCUGAGAGGGUGACGGCCCAAACGGGAACUAGAACAGGGCCAGAACUCCUAGGGGGGCAGCAGUGGGGAAAAAUGGCAAAAGGGGGGAAGGCUGAAGCAGGAAACGCGGGUGAGGGGAGAAGGCCUUUGGGGUGGAAAACCCUUUUAGCAGGGAAGAAGCGAAAGUGACGGUACCUGCAGAAAAAGCACCGGCUAACUACGUG
Molecule: ribosomal RNA, 469 nt
Filed under: uncultured bacterium
Lineage: Bacteria
Description: partial 16S ribosomal RNA
Rfam family: Bacterial small subunit ribosomal RNA
Source: RNAcentral